Molecule: ribosomal RNA, 1376 nt
Filed under: uncultured bacterium
Lineage: Bacteria
Description: bacterial SSU rRNA
Rfam family: Bacterial small subunit ribosomal RNA
Source: RNAcentral
GAUUGAACGCUGGCGGCAUGCCUUACACAUGCAAGUCGAACGGCAGCAUGAUCUAGCUUGCUAGAUUGAUGGCGAGUGGCGAACGGGUGAGUAAUACAUCGGAACGUGCCCUGUAGUGGGGGAUAACUAGUCGAAAGAUUAGCUAAUACCGCAUACGACCUGAGGGUGAAAGUGGGGGACCGCAAGGCCUCAUGCUAUAGGAGCGGCCGAUGUCUGAUUAGCUAGUUGGUGAGGUAAAGGCUCACCAAGGCGACGAUCAGUAGCUGGUCUGAGAGGACGAUCAGCCACACUGGGACUGAGACACGGCCCAGACUCCUACGGGAGGCAGCAGUGGGGAAUUUUGGACAAUGGGGGCAACCCUGAUCCAGCAAUGCCGCGUGUGUGAAGAAGGCCUUCGGGUUGUAAAGCACUUUUGUCCGGAAAGAAAUCGCACUUACUAAUAUUAGGUGUGGAUGACGGUACCGGAAGAAUAAGGACCGGCUAACUACGUGCCAGCAGCCGCGGUAAUACGUAGGGUCCAAGCGUUAAUCGGAAUUACUGGGCGUAAAGCGUGCGCAGGCGGUUGUGCAAGACCGAUGUGAAAUCCCCGGGCUUAACCUGGGAAUUGCAUUGGUGACUGCACGGCUAGAGUGUGUCAGAGGGGGGGUAGAAUUUCCACGUGUAGCAGUGAAAUGCGUAGAGAUGUGGAGGAAUACCGAUGGCGAAGGCAGCCCCCUGGGAUAACACUGACGCUCAUGCACGAAAGCGUGGGGGAGCAAACAGGAUUAGAUACCCUGGUAGUCCACGCCCUAAACGAUGUCAACUAGUUGUUGGGGAUUCAUUUCCUUAGUAACGUAGCUAACGCGUGAAGUUGACCGCCUGGGGAGUACGGUCGCAAGAUUAAAACUCAAAGGAAUUGACGGGGACCCGCACAAGCGGUGGAUGAUGUGGAUUAAUUCGAUGCAACGCGAAAAACCUUACCUACCCUUGACAUGCCACUAACGAAGCAGAGAUGCAUUAGGUGCUCGAAAGAGAAAGUGGACACAGGUGCUGCAUGGCUGUCGUCAGCUCGUGUCGUGAGAUGUUGGGUUAAGUCCCGCAACGAGCGCAACCCUUGUCUCUAGUUGCUACGAAAGGGCACUCUAGAGAGACUGCCGGUGACAAACCGGAGGAAGGUGGGGAUGACGUCAAGUCCUCAUGGCCCUUAUGGGUAGGGCUUCACACGUCAUACAAUGGUGCAUACAGAGGGUUGCCAAGCCGCGAGGUGGAGCUAAUCCCAGAAAAUGCAUCGUAGUCCGGAUCGUAGUCUGCAACUCGACUACGUGAAGCUGGAAUCGCUAGUAAUCGCGGAUCAGCAUGCCGCGGUGAAUACGUUCCCGGGUCUUGUACACACCGCC